Molecule: long non-coding RNA, 270 nt
Filed under: Elaeis guineensis (African oil palm)
Lineage: Eukaryota; Viridiplantae; Streptophyta; Magnoliopsida; Arecales; Arecaceae
Description: long non-coding RNA (EGUI_LNC075076)
Source: RNAcentral
GCUACCGACUUAGGUUCGGACCUAUGAGGUCACACACAUUAGAGUUCAUGAUCCGAUCAGAUGGUUGAUCAACGAUUAAGAAUCAUUCUAGGGUUAAAUGAUCAAUACGAUUGACAUUUAACCCAGUGCAAGUGUUACAAGAGGAUCGAUUAGCAAUUCGAUUGCUAAUUGGCUUAAUUUGAUUAAGCCAAUGGGCUGAGAUUAAGUCUAAUUAAAUAUGAUUUAAUUAGAUUUGGUUUGGGCUUGAUUGGAUCAAGUCCAAUUGGUUUG